RNAcentral lists this ribosomal RNA (492 nucleotides) under uncultured bacterium. RNAcentral describes it as "partial 16S ribosomal RNA". It matches the Rfam family "Bacterial small subunit ribosomal RNA", at positions 28 to 507 of the family's 1533-position model. The record is from RNAcentral.
GAUGAACGCUAGCUACAGGCUUAACACAUGCAAGUCGAGGGGAAACGACAUCGAAAGCUUGCUUUUGAUGGGCGUCGACCGGCGCACGGGUGAGUAACGCGUAUCCAACCUGCCCAUCACUUGGGGAUAACCUUGCGAAAGUAAGACUAAUACCCAAUGAUAUCUCUAGAAGACAUCUGAAAGAGAUUAAAGAUUUAUCGGUGAUGGAUGGAGAUGCGUCUGAUUAGCUUGUUGGCGGGGUAACGGCCCACCAAGGCAACGAUCAGUAGGGGUUCUGAGAGGAAGGUCCCCCACAUUGGAACUGAGACACGGUCCAAACUCCUACGGGAGGCAGCAGUGAGGAAUAUUGGUCAAUGGGCGGGAGCCUGAACCAGCCAAGUAGCGUGCAGGAAGACGGCCCUAUGGGUUGUAAACUGCUUUUAUAAGGGAAUAAAGUGAGAGUCGUGACUCUUUUUGUAUGUACCUUAUGAAUAAGAACCGGCUAAUUCCGUG